UAUAUAUAUAUAUGAGUCCGGCUGCUAUGCUAUGAUAGCACCAAAUACUUGGUGCUAGUAAGUUUUCUACCGUUAGAUUAACUACUAUGAUUAUUUUUACCCGUUAGAUUAUACUAUUCAACCAACUACCCAUUCAAUCCUAGGGGAGCCUAUAUCAUCAUAACCGCGCAUUUCUUAAUCCAAUGGUUAAAAAACUAAUAGCACCAAUAACUUAGUGCUAUUGAUAGUAUUCCAGCCUAGUUCUAUAUAUAUAUAUACACCAUCAUCUACGAAUAAUGAGA
Molecule: long non-coding RNA, 281 nt
Filed under: Ananas comosus (pineapple)
Lineage: Eukaryota; Viridiplantae; Streptophyta; Magnoliopsida; Poales; Bromeliaceae
Description: long non-coding RNA (ACOM_LNC041515)
Source: RNAcentral